CUGCUGCCUCCCGUAGGGGUUUGGACCGUGUCUCAGUUCCAAUGUGGGGGACCUUCCUCUCAGAACCCCUACGCAUCGUCGGCUUGGUGGGCCGUUGCCCCACCAACUACCUAAUGCGCCGCAUGCCCAUCCGUGACCGGGGUCGCCCCCUUUGGCCGGCAGGGGAUGUCCCCUCCCGGCAUUAUGUUGUAUUAGGCGGGAUUUCUCCCGGUUAUCCAUCUGUCACGGCCAGGUUGCAUACGUGUUACUCACCCGUGCGCCGGUCGCCGGCGGCGGAAAG
This 280-nucleotide ribosomal RNA is filed under the name uncultured bacterium. RNAcentral describes it as "partial 16S ribosomal RNA". The record is from RNAcentral.